AAAUGAAUAGACGGGGGCCCGCACAAGCGGAGGAACAUGUGGUUUAAUUCGAUGAUACGCGAGGAACCUUACCCGGGCUUGAAUUGCAGAGGAAUGUCGUGGAAACAUGGCAGCUAGUAAUAGUCUCUGUGAAGGUGCUGCAUGGUUGUCGUCAGCUCGUGCCGUGAGGUGUCGGCUUAAGUGCCAUAACGAGCGCAACCCUCAUAUUCAGUUACUAACAGGUUAAGCUGAGGACUCUGGAUAGACUGCCGUCGUAAGAUGUGAGGAAGGUGGGGAUGACGUCAAAUCAGCACGGCCCUUACGUCCGGGGCGACACACGUGUUACAAUGGGGGGUACAGAAGGUUGCUACACAGCGAUGUGAUGCUAAUCCCAAAAGCCUCUCUCAGUUCGGAUCGAAGUCUGCAACCCGACUUCGUGAAGCUGGAUUCGCUAGUAAUCGCGCAUCAGCCAUGGCGCGGUGAAUACGUUCCCGGGCCUUGUACACACCGCCCGU
This 494-nucleotide ribosomal RNA is filed under the name uncultured bacterium. Its description in RNAcentral is "bacterial SSU rRNA". It matches the Rfam family "Bacterial small subunit ribosomal RNA", at positions 903 to 1397 of the family's 1533-position model. The record is from RNAcentral.